RNAcentral lists this long non-coding RNA (872 nucleotides) under Marmota monax (woodchuck). Lineage: Eukaryota; Metazoa; Chordata; Mammalia; Rodentia; Sciuridae. The record is from RNAcentral.
UAGGAAUCCGCACCCGUGUCUGCAGGCCUCCGGCUGCUCCUCGGUCUUGCUGCCCUGUGAUCCCUGCCUGGCUGUCCGGGCUUCUCUGAGGAUGGAUCCCAGACGCCAGAGUCCCAGGUCAGCUCCGUGGGUCCUGUAACACACUGUCACGUCGAUCUCUGCAGAGCGCACGGCAGCUCGUUCACCUGGCAACCCCAGGGUGUUGUCACCGGCAACAGCUAGAGUGACGAAGAAGUGCUGGCUGAUUCCAAACGAGCCCGGCUCCACCGUGGGGUCUCUUCUUCCCUUGGCCCCUUUACACAUCAGCACACAAGAGUCUCGGGGGCCUGUGAGCUGGGCCUGACGCCACUGUGUCAGCCACCCUGGGCCGGGUCCCCCCCUCCAGCCACCAGCUGAGUGGCCACGACCCUAGGCAGGUCGUCUGGCCUCCGUGUGCCUCAGUCCCCUCAUGUUUCAGAUGGUGCCCACAACGGAGGACAUCUAUGAGGACUGCUAUGGACCAGAGGGCACAGCACAGGGCCGGGCAGGGACAUCAGUGGCCUCAAAGGACUGGGUCUCCUCUGAUCUUUGUUGUAGGUGCUGUCUGCCCUUUGGACACUGACCGUGGAACUGCCUUAUGGACUAUUUUUGAGAUACAGGAUGUGUUCUUCUUCUUCUUUUUUUUUUUUUUUGGUAUGGGGAAUUGAACUCAGGGGCACUGGACCACUGAGCCACGUCCCAGCCCUAUUUUGUAUUUCAUUUAGACACAGAGUCUCACUGAGUUGCUUAGUGCCUCGUUUUUGCUGAGGCUGGCUUUGAACUCGUGAUCCUCCUGCCUCAGCCUCCUGAGCCCCUGGGACUACAGGCGUGUGCCACCACCUCUGGAGAGAUCC